This 254-nucleotide ribosomal RNA is filed under the name uncultured bacterium. RNAcentral's name for it is "partial 16S ribosomal RNA". It matches the Rfam family "Bacterial small subunit ribosomal RNA", at positions 524 to 776 of the family's 1533-position model. The record is from RNAcentral.
UACGUAGGUCACAAGCGUUAUCCGGAAUUACUGGGCAUAAAGAGAUGCGUAGGUGUUUUGAUAAGUUCUUGGUCAAAUUUUUUAGCUUAACUAGAAAACUGCCGGGAAAACUAUCAGAAUAGAGUAAGGGAGAGGGGAAUGGAAUUUCUGGUGGAGCGGUAAAAUGCGUUGAUAUCAGAAAGAACACCGAUGGCGAAGGCAAUUCCCUGGCCCUUCACUGACACUAAGGCUCGAAAGCGUAGGGAGCAAAACGG